GACCAGACUCCUACGGGAGGCAGCAGUGGGGAAUAUUGCACAAUGGGGGAAACCCUGAUGCAGCGACGCCGCGUGAGUGAAGAAGUAUUUCGGUAUGUAAAGCUCUAUCAGCAGGGAAGAAAAUGGCGGUACCUGACUAAGAAGCCCCGGCUAACUACGUGCCAGCAGCCGCGGUAAUACGUAGGGGGCAAGCGUUAUCCGGAUUUACUGGGUGUAAAGGGAGCGUAGACGGCAUGGCAAGUCAGAUGUGAAAGCCCGGGGCUCAACCCCGGGACUGCAUUUGAAACUGUCAGGCUGGAGUGCAGGAGAGGUAAGUGGAAUUCCUAGUGUAGCGGUGAAAUGCGUAGAUAUUAGGAGGAACACCAGUGGCGAAGGCGGCUUACUGGACUGUAACUGACGUUGAGGCUCGAAAGCGUGGGGAGCAAACAGGAUUAGAUACCCUUGUAC
This 447-nucleotide ribosomal RNA is filed under the name uncultured bacterium. Its description in RNAcentral is "bacterial SSU rRNA". It matches the Rfam family "Bacterial small subunit ribosomal RNA", at positions 329 to 793 of the family's 1533-position model. The record is from RNAcentral.